This 548-nucleotide ribosomal RNA is filed under the name uncultured bacterium. RNAcentral's name for it is "partial 16S ribosomal RNA". The record is from RNAcentral.
UAAUCUUGCGACCGUACUCCCCAGGCGGGGUACUUAUUGCGUUAGCUGCGACACCAAGAAGACAAGCUUCCCGACGUCUAGUACCCAUCGUUUAGGGCGUGGACUACCAGGGUAUCUAAUCCUGUUUGCUACCCACGCUUUCGUACCUCAGUGUCAGUGUUGGUCCAGAUAGCCGCCUUCGCCACUGACGUUCCUCCCGAUAUCUACGCAUUUCACCGCUACACCGGGAAUUCCACUAUCCUCUACCACACUCGAGUCUGCCAGUAUCAAGCGCAGUUCCCGGGUUGAGCCCGAGGAUUUCACACCUGACUUAACAAACCACCUACGCACGCUUUACGCCCAGUAAUUCCGAUUAACGCUCGCACCCUCUGUAUUACCGCGGCUGCUGGCACAGAGUUAGCCGGUGCUUCUUCUUUGGGUACCAUCAGGGACGGAGAUGUUAGCUCCGCCUUGUUUGUCCCCACCGAAAGUGCUUUACAACCCGAAGGCCUUCUUCACACACGCGGCAUUGCUGGAUCAGGGUUGCCCCCAUUGUCCAAUAUUCCCCA